CUCUAAUACAUUUUCUAGAUUAUAUAUUUUACGGAAUAUAUACAAUGAAAGUAUUAGUAUUAAAGAGAUUUAUUCCUUCCUAAUUUAGGUAAAAAUAAAAAAGUAAAAUAAGUAUUAGUAAAAAUA
RNAcentral lists this non-coding RNA (126 nucleotides) under chicken gut metagenome. RNAcentral describes it as "RT-14 RNA". It matches the Rfam family "RT-14 RNA", at positions 1 to 125 of the family's 144-position model. Rfam says of the family: Cloacimonetes, Firmicutes, Proteobacteria. The record is from RNAcentral.